Molecule: ribosomal RNA, 1491 nt
Filed under: metagenome
Description: bacterial LSU rRNA
Rfam family: Bacterial large subunit ribosomal RNA
Source: RNAcentral
UCGGCACAGAUCGGAUAACCGCAAGGCUACAGAACUGGUUAUCAAGUGACUCCUGAGUUCGCUGUAACACAAGGUGCGAAGAGCAUUUCUUGUUUACACGAGCUUCACGAGUUCUUUGGAGUUGGUCAAGUGAUUGUCAAUAAUCGCUAUGACAACCACAAAGAGCACUUGUAUCGUUAUGUUGUGCGAAAGCGCAAAGAUCUGCUGGAGGUGGUAAUCCCAUUCUUCAGACAGAAUCCGAUGCAUUCCUCAAAGCAGAAAGACUUUGAGAAAUUCGCACAAUGUGUUGAGUUGAUCGAAAGCGGUCAUCAUUUAACUCGUCCAGGGUUAAUUGAGAUUGUAGAGAUUGCUCAGACGAUGAAUCGCCAAAAACCUAGAAACGAAUUAAUCAGAAUCCUCAGAGACCACAUGCCAAACUUCCAAGACACUGGAAGAUGAUAUGGUCCCGACUGCAUGGCGACAUGCAGGGAUGAUGUGAAGCUCGCAUUAUCCGCCUGGCCCAAAGCCAGGUAAGAUCUCAAGCGAAAUUCCUUGUCGGGUAAGUUCCGACCUGCACGAAUGGCGUAACGAUCUGGGAGCUGUCUUAACGAGAGGCACAGCGAACUUGUAGUACCGGUGAAGAUGCCGGUUUCCCGCAUCUAGACGGAAAGACCCCGUGCACCUUGACUACAACUUGAUAGUGGGUUCGGGCAAACGAUGCGCAGGAUAGGUGGGAGGCUUUGAACCCGUCCUUUUGGGGGCGGGGGAGCCAACGGUGAGAUACCACCCUUCGUUUGUCUGGACUCUAACCUAGAGCCGUAAUCCGGUUCAGGGACACUAUCAGGCGGGUAGUUUGACUGGGGCGGUCGCCUCCCAAAUUGUAACGGAGGCGCGCGAAGGUUCCCUCAGGCUGAUUGGAAACCAGCCGUAGAGUGUAAAGGCAUAAGGGAGCUUGACUGCGAGACCAACAAGUCGAGCAGGUACGAAAGUAGGUCUUAGUGAUCCGGCGGUUCUGUAUGGAAGGGCCGUCGCUCAACGGAUAAAAGGUACGCCGGGGAUAACAGGCUGAUCUCCCCCAAGAGUUCACAUCGACGGGGAGGUUUGGCACCUCGAUGUCGGCUCAUCGCAUCCUGGGGCUGAAGUAGGUCCCAAGGGUUUGGCUGUUCGCCAAUUAAAGCGGUACGCGAGCUGGGUUUAAAACGUCGUGAGACAGUUUGGUCCCUAUCUUCUGUGGGCGUAGGAUACUUGAGAAGAGUUGACCUUAGUACGAGAGGACCGGGUUGAACGUACCUCUGGUGUUCCAGUUGUUCCGCCAGGAGCAGUCGCUGGGUAGCUAUGUACGGAAAGGAUAACCGCUGAAAGCAUCUAAGCGGGAAGCCUCCUUCAAGAUUAGGUAUCCCCGGGAGCAAUCCCCUGAAGGCCCGUUGUAGACCACAACGUUGAUAGGCCGGGUGUGUAAGCGCAGUAAUGCGUUCAGCUUACCGGUACUAAUCGGCCGUGAGGCUUGACCAU